RNAcentral lists this long non-coding RNA (1020 nucleotides) under Bemisia tabaci. RNAcentral's name for it is "lncRNA ENSSSA2NGG005081". The record is from RNAcentral. Lineage: Eukaryota; Metazoa; Arthropoda; Insecta; Hemiptera; Aleyrodidae.
CACUUUGUCGAAGUUAAAAAUUAGCACUCUCUUUUUUUCUUCCUUUUUCGGCUAGAUCUCUCACACGGAAAAAAAUCGGUCGGGUGAAAUUCCUGAUCCCCGGUGGGAAUGAGUGCGGUAGGGACGCCUCCCAGCGCCGGUAGGCGUGUCGGCUUACCUACUCGGCGUGUCGUUCAGGUAGCACCCGGGUGACAGCGCCACCGGUCGGUGAUAACAGUGAAUCCGUAUAAUUCCCGGACUAGCCGGUAGGGAUCACGCCGGUCGCUGCUACCAACGCCGGUUGUGACGUAAUGUUUACCUCAUCCUCAGUGUUUUGAUUCAGUGAGUGUUCGUGUUUGUGUGGAAGUUUAGAUAAAUUAGCUAAUGGAUGAGGCUACGGCGGAAUUCCUUCGGCACAAUAAUUUAGCCGCUUAUCUGGCAGCUUGCGAAGAGGCUGGCAUCUCUGCCUUAGAACUACGGCUUCUUGACAAAGAGUCAGCAAAGGAACUCAUACCCAAGUUGGGGGAUCGGCUUCGUUUUUUAAAUGCUUUGGAAGGCUUCCAAAAUCCUGAUGGUCUUAUUAAUAAUUUAAUGGUGCGUAUUCAAAGUUUUGGAAAAAUUCAUUAAAAGGUCUUAUAUAAUUUUAUUUUGAAAAGAAUGAGAAGACACAUAAAUUUGCAAGAAAAUCAAGAUAAAAAAGUAAUACUUUAUUAUACUCUUUAAAAAUCUCAUGUACAAAGCUUGAAUUUGCCAUAUUGGAUUACAAUGAAACUUUAUGCCCUUUAUUGCUCUAUACUGCUCGCAAAUAGUGCUUUAGAACACCAGAGAGUUUACUGGUACAAACUUUAAAUAUUUUCCCUGAAAAUAAUGCCCUGUUCACUCCGAAGCAACUCAUAUAUCCCCUGUCUUCUCAUGCACGCGCCAGUUUGAGCUUUUGUUAAUUUUUUAGAUUUUUCUUGCAUGGAUAUUUAUUUUGUAGUUUUUGCUGCUGAUGCCAGGGUGCCUUUAUCCUAAUCCUGAAAUUUGAUGUAAACAAUGUAA